Long non-coding RNA from Hemiscyllium ocellatum (epaulette shark), 216 nucleotides. RefSeq lists it as uncharacterized. The transcript is spliced from 3 exons. NCBI's taxonomy places the organism in Eukaryota, Metazoa, Chordata, Chondrichthyes, Orectolobiformes, Hemiscylliidae. The record is from RefSeq and is a predicted model, not a curated record.
UCAGAGAGCGGCGCUCAGAGCCGGGGUGUGGGAGCCUCGCUGGGAGAAAGGAGCGGAGAGAAUUCACAAGUCCCAAAUACAGGUACUCAAUAGAGUUGCCAACUGCUGGUUGGGAAGAUGGUUAGUCAGCCGCAGAAACAAAGGUCAGGGAGGUCUGGAGCCUUCAAUAAAUCCUGCCACCAGCUUAAUAACAUCCUUCCUAUAACUGGGCGACCC